Molecule: ribosomal RNA, 253 nt
Filed under: uncultured bacterium
Lineage: Bacteria
Description: partial 16S ribosomal RNA
Rfam family: Bacterial small subunit ribosomal RNA
Source: RNAcentral
GACGAACCGUACGAACGUUAUUCGGAAUCACUGGGCUUGAAGGGUGCGUAGGCGGUGCGGAAAGUUGGGUGUGAAAUCCCUCGGCUUAACCGAGGAACUGCGCCCAAAACUACCGUGCUGGAGGGAGACAGAGGUGAGUGGAACUUAGGGUGGAGCGGUGAAAUGCGUUGAUAUCCUAAGGAACACCGGUGGCGAAAGCGACUCACUGGGUCUCUUCUGACGCUGAUGCACGAAAGCUAGGGUAGCGAACGGG